This 151-nucleotide non-coding RNA is filed under the name unclassified sequences. The record is from Rfam.
UGUCGGCCUACUGCACCGGGAACGUGUUCCCACCGCAGCGCCGAGGGGGAGGAGCCUCGCCAGCAGCGGCCUAUGGCCGGAAAGGCGAAACAUACAGCGUUGGGUGGAGCUUGGUAGGUUUCCGCAGGGAUUCUCGAAGAGGUCAGGCCCG